AGUGAACGCUGGCGGUAGGCCUAACACAUGCAAGUCGAACGGCAGCACAGUAAGAGCUUGCUCUUACGGGUGGCGAGUGGCGGACGGGUGAGGAAUACAUCGGAAUCUACUUUUUCGUGGGGGAUAACGUAGGGAAACUUACGCUAAUACCGCAUACGACCUACGGGUGAAAGCAGGGGAUCUUCGGACCUUGCGCGAUUGAAUGAGCCGAUGUCGGAUUAGCUAGUUGGCGGGGUAAAGGCCCACCAAGGCGACGAUCCGUAGCUGGUCUGAGAGGAUGAUCACCCACCCGGGAACUGGGACACGGUCCAGGGUCCUAAGGGAGGCAGCAGUGGGGAAUAUUGGACAAUGGGGGGAAGCCUGGUCCAGCCAUACCGCGUGGGUGGAGAAGGCCUUCGGGUUGUAAAGCCCUUUUGUUGGGAAAGAAAAGCAGCCGGUUAAUACCCCGCUGUUCUGACGGUACCCAAAGAAUAAGCACCGGCUAACUUCGUG
RNAcentral lists this ribosomal RNA (492 nucleotides) under uncultured bacterium. RNAcentral describes it as "partial 16S ribosomal RNA". It matches the Rfam family "Bacterial small subunit ribosomal RNA", at positions 29 to 507 of the family's 1533-position model. The record is from RNAcentral.